RNAcentral lists this ribosomal RNA (253 nucleotides) under uncultured bacterium. Its description in RNAcentral is "partial 16S ribosomal RNA". It matches the Rfam family "Bacterial small subunit ribosomal RNA", at positions 524 to 776 of the family's 1533-position model. The record is from RNAcentral.
UACGGAGGGGGCUAGCGUUGUUCGGAAUUACUGGGCGUAAAGCGCACGUAGGCGGCUUUGUAAGUUAGAGGUGAAAGCCCGGGGCUCAACUCCGGAAUUGCCUUUAAGACUGCAUCGCUAGAAUUGUGGAGAGGUGAGUGGAAUUCCGAGUGUAGAGGUGAAAUUCGUAGAUAUUCGGAAGAACACCAGUGGCGAAGGCGACUGACUGGACAUGUAUUGACGCUGAGGUGCGAAAGCGUGGGGAGCAAACAGG